Molecule: ribosomal RNA, 468 nt
Filed under: uncultured bacterium
Lineage: Bacteria
Description: partial 16S ribosomal RNA
Rfam family: Bacterial small subunit ribosomal RNA
Source: RNAcentral
GACGAACGCUGGCGGCGUGCUUAACACAUGCAAGUCGAACGGAAAGGCCCUGCUUUUGUGGGGUGCUCGAGUGGCGAACGGGUGAGUAACACGUGAGUAACCUGCCCUUGACUUUGGGAUAACUUCAGGAAACUGGGGCUAAUACCGGAUAGGAGCUCCUGCUGCAUGGUGGGGGUUGGAAAGUUUCGGCGGUUGGGGAUGGACUCGCGGCUUAUCAGCUUGUUGGUGGGGUAGUGGCUUACCAAGGCUUUGACGGGUAGCCGGCCUGAGAGGGUGACCGGCCACAUUGGGACUGCGAGACGGACCAGACUCCUACGGGAGGCAGCAGUGGAGAAUAUUGCACAAUGGGCGGAAGCCUGAUGCAGCAACGCCGCGUGCGGGAUGACGGCCUUCGGGUUGUAAACCGCUUUCGCCUGUGACGAAGCGUGAGUGACGGUAAUGGGUAAAGAAGCACCGGCUAACUACGUG